GAUGAACGCUGGCGGCGUGCCUAAUACAUGCAAGUCGAGCGAACGGACGAGAAGCUUGCUUCUCUGAUGUUAGCGGCGGACGGGUGAGUAACACGUGGAUAACCUACCUAUAAGACUGGGAUAACUUCGGGAAACCGGAGCUAAUACCGGAUAAUAUUUUGAACCGCAUGGUUCAAAAGUGAAAGACGGUCUUGCUGUCACUUAUAGAUGGAUCCGCGCUGCAUUAGCUAGUUGGUAAGGUAACGGCUUACCAAGGCAACGAUGCAUAGCCGACCUGAGAGGGUGAUCGGCCACACUGGAACUGAGACACGGUCCAGACUCCUACGGGAGGCAGCAGUAGGGAAUCUUCCGCAAAGGGCGAAAGCCUGACGGAGCAACGCCGCGUGAGUGAUGAAGGUCUUCGGAUCGUAAAACUCUGUUAUUAGGGAAGAACAUAUGUGUAAGUAACUGUACACAUCUUGACGGUACCUAAUCAGAAAGCCACGGCUAACUACGUG
This 497-nucleotide ribosomal RNA is filed under the name uncultured bacterium. RNAcentral's name for it is "partial 16S ribosomal RNA". It matches the Rfam family "Bacterial small subunit ribosomal RNA", at positions 28 to 507 of the family's 1533-position model. The record is from RNAcentral.